Molecule: ribosomal RNA, 980 nt
Filed under: Salmonella enterica subsp. enterica serovar Weltevreden
Lineage: Bacteria; Pseudomonadati; Pseudomonadota; Gammaproteobacteria; Enterobacterales; Enterobacteriaceae
Description: bacterial SSU rRNA
Rfam family: Bacterial small subunit ribosomal RNA
Source: RNAcentral
AAAUUGAAGAGUUUGAUCAUGGCUCAGAUUGAACGCUGGCGGCAGGCCUAACACAUGCAAGUCGAACGGUAACAGGAAGCAGCUUGCUGUUUUGCUGACGAGUGGCGGACGGGUGAGUAAUGUCUGGGAAACUGCCUGAUGGAGGGGGAUAACUACUGGAAACGGUGGCUAAUACCGCAUAACGUCGCAAGACCAAAGAGGGGGACCUUCGGGCCUCUUGCCAUCAGAUGUGCCCAGAUGGGAUUAGCUUGUUGGUGAGGUAACGGCUCACCAAGGCGACGAUCCCUAGCUGGUCUGAGAGGAUGACCAGCCACACUGGAACUGAGACACGGUCCAGACUCCUACGGGAGGCAGCAGUGGGGAAUAUUGCACAAUGGGCGCAAGCCUGAUGCAGCCAUGCCGCGUGUAUGAAGAAGGCCUUCGGGUUGUAAAGUACUUUCAGCGGGGAGGAAGGUGUUGUGGUUAAUAACCACAGCAAUUGACGUUACCCGCAGAAGAAGCACCGGCUAACUCCGUGCCAGCAGCCGCGGUAAUACGGAGGGUGCAAGCGUUAAUCGGAAUUACUGGGCGUAAAGCGCACGCAGGCGGUCUGUCAAGUCGGAUGUGAAAUCCCCGGGCUCAACCUGGGAACUGCAUUCGAAACUGGCAGGCUUGAGUCUUGUAGAGGGGGGUAGAAUUCCAGGUGUAGCGGUGAAAUGCGUAGAGAUCUGGAGGAAUACCGGUGGCGAAGGCGGCCCCCUGGACAAAGACUGACGCUCAGGUGCGAAAGCGUGGGGAGCAAACAGGAUUAGAUACCCUGGUAGUCCACGCCGUAAACGAUGUCUACUUGGAGGUUGUGCCCUUGAGGCGUGGCUUCCGGAGCUAACGCGUUAAGUAGACCGCCUGGGGAGUACGGCCGCAAGGUUAAAACUCAAAUGAAUUGACGGGGGCCCGCACAAGCGGUGGAGCAUGUGGUUUAAUUCGAUGCAACGCGAAGAACC